ACAACCAUCUGAGUGACGUGGCGCAAAUGGACAUGAGAGAGAGUGAGAGAAUCUACAAAGGUUACGUAAAGAAGUGAGAGACAAACACAUUGUGGGUGUUUUGUCGAAAUCAAAGGUUUCAGAAGGAUCCAUCAAAUUCAGACAUUAAAUAAAACUACACAUAUUCCUCAUCAUGUGGACCUCUCAAUUUGAGUCCUGAAACAGCAACUAUUCCCUCGAAUCAAAUUCAAACCCUAUUCAUGAUCACUUUCUCUCUCAUUCCCUCUCCUCGUCAACAAGAUUACAAACCAAGACGCCUAUUCUCUCUCAUCCACUUAUUUCUUUUACCUAAGAUACUUCCUUAUCCAGCUCUUAAGAUCAUGCUAUCAAAGUUCAUUCGAAUCCGUAUGAGUGAUUAUGUAGUUAUAAUGAGCGUAUAUUUCAUUUAUAAGGAAUUUGAAAACGGUUUAUGUGUUACAAGAAAAUAGUGUAUGUAUUGUAACGAGUAACGUAUAUAUUACAUAAAAAUUACUACGGAGUUUACUCUAUUUUCUUCUGUCUGUUCAUUGUUCUAUUUUCUCUGUGUUCA
Molecule: long non-coding RNA, 568 nt
Organism: Arabidopsis thaliana (thale cress)
Lineage: Eukaryota; Viridiplantae; Streptophyta; Magnoliopsida; Brassicales; Brassicaceae
Product: other RNA
Exons: 1
Source: RefSeq